AUGAAAAGCUCCGGUUCUAACACACCAGGGCGCAGGAUCUACAGCCGCAUAUAAAGCGCGAUCUCUGGACUAUUUACAUUUGUUUCUUAUCAGAUUUUCUUUUCUCAGCCUCCCUUUGUGCCUAAGAGUCUGUUAGGAUACACAGUGCACUUGUGUAGUUUAUAUAUUUUUGCUAGAAAGAGUGGUGUGAGGUUGGAAACGCAGAGCGCACGCGCUUCACCUGGCACAAGAGCCUCCAGCAGAGGAGUGCAGGGGAAAGGUCACUGUGCUGUCAGUGGGAUGGUAGAAGUGUGGAGUGGAGUCCAGGCUGAAGGAGCAUGGUGAAACACCAACCCCUGCAGGUCUAUGAGAGACAACUCUGCUUGUCCUGUCUAACGGGGAUCUACGGCUGUCGCUGGAAACGUUACCAGCGCUCACACGAUGACACCACUAAGUGGGAGUGUAUGUGGACCCUCAUCCUCUUCGGGACUUUCACUCUGCUCCUGUUCUGGUUUUACUUCUGGUGGGAAGCAAGUAACGACUACAGUGAAUUUAACUGGUAUUUAUAUAACCAGUCUGGCGAGUGGAGUGAUGGAACUGUUCCCAUACUGGCCACGACAGCUGCAGGCUUCACCUAUAUCGCAUUUUUAUUGAUUUUAGCACUAUGUCACAUCGCAGUUGGACAGCAGCUGAACCUGCACUGGAUCCAUAAGAUCGGAGUGACUGCAGCUUUACUGACCACCAUGAUCGGCGUGAUAUCAGUCAGUCAGAUAUGGAGUGAGGAGUGGGAUAUCUUCUCAAUCUCUCUACAAGCCACAGGACCAUUCUUGCACAUCGGAGCUCUGGCUGCAAUUACAGCAUUGGCCUGGCUGGUAGCUGGACAAGUGGCUCGAUCUGAAAAGACCAUGUUUCAGGUUAUACUCCUGCUCGUGUACCUGCUGGUGCUCCUGAGCCUCUACCUGACCCCAUUGUCCAUCACAUCACCCUGCAUCAUGGAGCGAAACAAGCUUAAAGCACGACCUGCAGUCAUCGGCCAGCGCGGAGCUCCCAUGUUGGCUCCAGAGAACACGCUGCUCUCUUUCCAGAGAGCUGUGCAGAAGAAUGUCAGCGGCCUGGAGACCGAGGUGGCCAUCAGUCUGGAUGGAGUACCGUUCCUGAUGAGAGACCGUAACCUAAAGAGAACCACAGACGUGAGCAAAGUCUUUCCUGAGAGACAGAAUGAUGAUGCCUCGUUCUUCAACUGGACCGAGCUGAGCAUGCUCAAUGCCGGCCAUUGGUUUCUGAAGGGUGACCCGUACUGGUCAGUGCAGUACAUGUCUGAGCGAGAGCGCAGGUUAGUGGGGAAUCAGACGGUCUGCAGUCUGGAACAGAUGCUGCAGCUGGCAGCCCGCUCCAACCGCUCCGCCCUGUUUACCCUCCGCAGGCCUCCACCGGGGCACCCACACAACCUGAACUGGGUCAACAUCACCCUGAGCACCGUCCUGAACUCAGGCAUCCCUCAGCACCUUGUGGUGUGGAGUGUGGACUGGGACAGAAAGCUGGUAAAGCAGCAGGCUCCAGGCUUCCAGCAAAUGUCCACUGAGAAACUGACUCUGGAGAAUCUCCAUGAGAAAGGCAUCAGUAGAUUAUUGCUGCGCUACAACCAUUUUAGUGCUGAGGAGAUACGGACGUACACGGCGGGUAACGUGAGUGUGACCCUGUACACCGUGAACGAGCCGUGGCUUUAUUCCGUACUCUGGUGCAGCGGCGUUCACUCCGUCUCCUCUGAAGCACCGCAAAUCCUCCGGAAAGUUUUUUCGCCUCUUUGGCUAAUGAGUCCACAUGAGUACUGCUCGAUUUGGGUCGCUACAGAUCUCAUCUCCUUCGUUUUGGUCCUGGGGAUUUUUAUAUUUCAGAAGUGGAGGAUGAGUAACAUGCGUAGCUACAACCCGGAGCAGAUCAUGCUGAGCGCAGCUGUCAGGAGGUCGAGCCCAGACGUCAACAUCAUGAAGGAGAAGCUCAUCUUCUCUGGUCAGCAACAGUAGCAGAUUAACCCCAGCUGUAAGCCUUCAUCAUAUCAUCAUCUCAUCUCUCAUCCUGCAUCAUCCCUUACCAUCCUGAUGCUCCUGCACCAUCCUGCAUCAUCCCUAACUAUCCUCCAUCACCCUGCACCAUCUUUCAUCAUCCUGCUCCCUCUCAAACCAUCAAGUAUCAUCCUGCUCCAUCCGGCUUCUAUCUGACCCACCCUGCUCCAUAUAUAACCGUCCUGCAUCACCAACACCAUCCAUCCUGAACCAUCUUAUUUCACCACCUCCUUGCUCCCUUUUACUCCACCCACCCAUCCGUUCAUCCAUCCAUCCAUCCAUCCAUUCACUGCUACAUCCUUCACAUCCGGUUGUAGCUCAUUAAUGGCUUUGGUUGUCAUGACCAGAGAUCUCUUCAUGAGGUCAGCGAUGGGGUCAGCUGUGAUGAAAACGGGUUCGACUGCUACACCAAUCAAGAUGUUCACUGACUCAUCCCUCAACACUGACUGGGUGGGGAAAAAAGGGAAGAUUUCCGCCUCAGAUGUUCUGCCUGAACCGCUUUAGUUCUUUCUUUAUAAUUAUUAUUAAUAUCUCCCACUUCCCUCAGUGCUUUUCCAGUUUUCCAUGCGAGCUCCAGAAAGUUGCUGUAUCUUUAAAUGAACGUUAUGUAUGUUCUGUAUAGUUUUUUUUUUGGUACACUAUAUGACUUGUAAAGAAAGUGUGACUUGUUGAGUGCUCAUGAAGACUGGGAUGUCGGCCAUUUUAUUUGAAUUUGACUGUAAACAGGGCUUUAAUAGACCACGCCCUUUAUUUAAGAGAUGAGAAACCAUAACCAGGAGGAAUGUAAGGAAUAUUUCUAAACUAACGUGUGUGUGCGCGCGUGUGUGUGUCAAUUAUGAAGUAUGUAUAUGAAUGAAUGAAUGGAUGGAUGGAUGGAUUGAUUAGGAUUUACUCUGGGACUCUCUCCUCACUUAUCAAAGGGCCCAAGCAACUUCCUGUGUGUUUACAGUGUGCCUGUAUUUCUCUUUACUCUUGGUGACUUUUUCAUACGCACCCAUUGAAGAUUUUCAAGAAUAAUUUUUAUAUUCGUGUUCGAUGCCUUUCGGACGUUCAGCAUAUUUAAUUUUGGGUUACAGUCGAUGCACUCGAGCUUCUAAAAAGUUUGUUAUACACUUUGUGGUUAGACUUAGUAAGUACUAAGCUUUAAAGGAAAAAUCCACCCUGAACGAAGCUCGUAUUAGCCGUGUCUUCAUUUUAACUUGGAGAAAACAGUCCAGCUUCCAAAGCCAGCUUCACAACAUCCAAUGUGUCAUCUUGUAGCUGUGAGACUUCACCUGCUGCAUUGCAUUGUGGGAUGUUGAGUACAAUGUUUGCAGAUUCUAUGAUGUUGCUAGGACACAAUCUACGGUUGCUAGGAUAGUCCUAAACGUUUGAGAUUCCUAUUAAAUGCCAUGGUAACUGCACUAGCAUCAUAGACUUAGCAUCGCUAAACACUUCAUAAGAUACAUACAGCAUGUGUUCAGGGUGGAUUCCUCCUGUAACGCCGUUCUACACUGAAAGCGCUGAACUGAACGCAUCUUAGCGCCACGCACAGUACUACUGGAAAAUAUUUAAUUGCCUGGACUCAGAAGAGUGUUCAUAUUUAUAUAUUGUACAGUGAUUGUGUCUCAUUAUCAUAUAGUCUUUAUAGCGAAUAAAAUACAAGUUAUGGCACUGGUAGAUUUUGGUGAAGCGUUUUAACGAAAAUGUUCACGCUCGCACAGAAGAAAACAAACAAAUCAUUUUACUCUGUUUUUAUUUUGUACAUGUCUCAAGGAAUAAAUAAAUACAGUAUUUGGAAAUCUU
Tachysurus vachellii is the source of this 3827-nucleotide RNA transcript. It is a transcript of the gene named glycerophosphodiester phosphodiesterase domain containing 5b, with no coding region annotated. The transcript is spliced from 17 exons. Lineage: Eukaryota; Metazoa; Chordata; Actinopteri; Siluriformes; Bagridae. The record is from RefSeq and is a predicted model, not a curated record.